UCCAACAAGGGGGAGGCUUUGAAUUUCUAAAACUUGUAGGAUCUACUCGCAGUCGAAAUCUUGCGUUGCUUCAGUGUCCCAGCACUGGAUACACCCUUGCCUAUAUGAAAGAUCCAUCGACGAUGAUUGGACAGGCUACAAUCUACAUACGUCCACUUCAACAGGAUCUACCCUUAGAUUGUGAGAGCUCACGUCCUGCCUCUGGUCCAGUCAUCCCCUGCAUCACUUGUCAGAAGGAAGUUCCCUUUUCAGAGAUGAAGCUGCACAGAUUGAGCUGCAAUGGGACACCCAUGCAGGAAUCAGAAAGAGAACAAGAGGAGG
This is a long non-coding RNA of Coregonus clupeaformis (lake whitefish), 321 nucleotides long. RefSeq lists it as uncharacterized. The transcript is spliced from 3 exons. The record is from RefSeq and is a predicted model, not a curated record. Lineage: Eukaryota; Metazoa; Chordata; Actinopteri; Salmoniformes; Salmonidae.